UGAUGAUGAUGAGGAUAAUUUCUGAGCAUGUCUUUAAAUCUCUCCCAAGCUUAAUAAUGAUUUUCUUCAUCUUUUUGUAUCAAACUCAAAAUCUCACUCCUCAAUUG
This 107-nucleotide small nucleolar RNA is filed under the name Capsicum annuum. RNAcentral's name for it is "Plant small nucleolar RNA R71". It matches the Rfam family "Plant small nucleolar RNA R71". From Rfam's summary of the family: R71 is a member of the C/D box family of snoRNAs containing the C (UGAUGA) and D (CUGA) box motifs. Multiple nearly identical copies of this snoRNA have been identified in Arabidopsis, and it is thought to function as a 2'-O-ribose methylation guide for 18S ribosomal RNA. The record is from Rfam by way of RNAcentral. Lineage: Eukaryota; Viridiplantae; Streptophyta; Magnoliopsida; Solanales; Solanaceae.